RNAcentral lists this unclassified non-coding RNA (24 nucleotides) under Mus musculus (house mouse). RNAcentral describes it as "oocyte_clustered_small_RNA4759". Lineage: Eukaryota; Metazoa; Chordata; Mammalia; Rodentia; Muridae. The record is from RNAcentral.
UCUCACCAGGCACGCAGCUUUAGC